Non-coding RNA from Dujonia railenensis, 84 nucleotides. Lineage: Eukaryota; Fungi; Ascomycota; Pichiomycetes; Serinales; Debaryomycetaceae. The record is from the annotation of a GenBank genome assembly.
GUUACAGUGGCCGAGUGGUUAAGGCGACGCCCUGCUAAUAGGCGUUGGGUUCUGCCUGCGCAGGUUCGAAUCCUGUCUGUGACG